RNAcentral lists this ribosomal RNA (466 nucleotides) under uncultured bacterium. RNAcentral describes it as "partial 16S ribosomal RNA". It matches the Rfam family "Bacterial small subunit ribosomal RNA", at positions 29 to 506 of the family's 1533-position model. The record is from RNAcentral.
ACGAACGCUGGCGGCGUGCUUAACACCUGCACGUCGAACGGAAAGGCCCUGCUUUUGUGGGGUGCUCGAGUGGCGAACGGGUGAGUAACACGUGAGUAACCUGCCCUUGACUUUGGGAUAACUUCAGGAAACUGGGGCUAAUACCGGAUAGGAGCUCCUGCUGCAUGGUGGGGGUUGGAAAGUUUCGGCGGUUGGGGAUGGACUCGCGGCUUAUCAGCUUGUUGGUGGGGUAGUGGCUUACCAAGGCUUUGACGGGUAGCCGGCCUGAGAGGGUGACCGGCCACAUUGGGACUGAGAUACGGCCCAGACUCCUACGGGAGGCAGCAGUGGGGAAUAUUGCACAAUGGGCGGAAGCCUGAUGCAGCAACGCCGCGUGCGGGAUGACGGCCUUCGGGUGGUAAACCGCUUUCGCCUGUGACGAAGCGUGAGUGACGGUAAUGGGUAAAGAAGCACCGGCUAACUACGU